This is a long non-coding RNA of Ananas comosus (pineapple), 1074 nucleotides long. RefSeq lists it as uncharacterized. NCBI's taxonomy places the organism in Eukaryota, Viridiplantae, Streptophyta, Magnoliopsida, Poales, Bromeliaceae. The transcript is spliced from 3 exons. The record is from RefSeq and is a predicted model, not a curated record.
UUGGCGAUGAGAAAAGGACGAAGGCAAUCAGGAAAAACAUUGGGAGCAGUGGCGGUGGCGACAAUGAUGAACGCAAUGGUGGGGUAUCAGAAAAGAGCUAGAGUCACCUGUGAUAUGGCAGGGAUGUGAUUGCUUCUCAAAGGGAGUGGACUCUCCAGUUUUUGAUGAACUUGAAGCUGUUUUGGCACAAGACAUGCUAUCUCUUCCAGCAACCAAAGGGAUUUGAGUUUGAAAGUGGAUUCACUGGUGAUAUGUGAUCAACAGAGUAUAAUAAGGUUAAGCGGUUGUUGGAGAAGGCAUACACGAGAUUGUUAAAUGCGAUGUAGAACAGUCUUCGAUUCAAGUUGGUUCUAUUCCUUUUUUCUUUCAAUAAAUGCUGAUGAAAAUCUAACAAAAUGAACCCAUAUUCAGCAAAACUCUUUUUCAUCAAUUUGCUUUUGCUUGCUGCUCAACCUUUAAUUUGUAAUAGCUCUGAUGCUGAUGCUGAUUCUUUUUUAUUGUUUACCGAUGUUUCAUCUACUAUUCAAUAAAUCAGAUAUAUGUCAUCUCACAACAUUAUAUUGACAAGUGCAUUUGCUCUUAUUUUAUUCUUAACAAAUUUAUAUCUUUUAUUUAAAUAAUUCAUUUUAGCCUAAAUUUUAUCUCUUCUUAUUUUAUUCUUUUUCUCUUUUAUUUUGUUGAAUUUUUGCGGUAGUAUAUUGAUAGCUGUAAUGUAAUAAGGCAUGUUUGGUCUAGAGCCGGAUUGGAUUAAAAUUAGUCUGGCUCAUAAAUUAUCCCAUAUUUGAAUUAUAAUCACUACAACAAAAACGGUGUAUAGCGACAUAUUUAAAUGUCGAUACAGGUCAAAAAAAAGUGCUGCUGGUUAAAUUGUCGAUACUUUUUAAAAAUGUUGCUAUAUGUGGGACCGUCUUGAUGUUUGGCACCUACUCCUCCAGCGACCUGUGGAGGAGGGACACGUGGACCUUCUCCAAAGGAAUGAGAUAGGGCUGCCAGAAGCAAAGACAUUGAAUAUACAAUAUAGAUAAGGAGAUGUUGCUAAUAAGUCAAAAGAAGCUUUGGUAUGCAAAGCACCAC